Molecule: ribosomal RNA, 766 nt
Filed under: uncultured bacterium
Lineage: Bacteria
Description: bacterial SSU rRNA
Rfam family: Bacterial small subunit ribosomal RNA
Source: RNAcentral
CCUGUACACACGGAUAACAUACCGAAAGGUAUGCUAAUACGAGAUAAAAUACUUUUAUCGCAUGGUAGAAGUAUCAAAGCUUUUGCGGUACAGGAUGGACCCGCGUCUGAUUAGCUAGUUGGUAAGGUAACGGCUUACCAAGGCGACGAUCAGUAGCCGACCUGAGAGGGUGAUCGGCCACAUUGGAACUGAGACACGGUCCAAACUCCUACGGGAGGCAGCAGUGGGGAAUAUUGCACAAUGGGCGAAAGCCUGAUGCAGCAACGCCGCGUGAGCGAUGAAGGCCUUCGGGUCGUAAAGCUCUGUCCUCAAGGAAGAUAAUGACGGUACUUGAGGAGGAAGCCCCGGCUAACUACGUGCCAGCAGCCGCGGUAAUACGUAGGGGGCUAGCGUUAUCCGGAAUUACUGGGCGUAAAGGGUGCGUAGGUGGUUUCUUAAGUCAGAGGUGAAAGGCUACGGCUCAACCGUAGUAAGCCUUUGAAACUGGGAAACUUGAGUGCAGGAGAGGAGAGUGGAAUUCCUAGUGUAGCGGUGAAAUGCGUAGAUAUUAGGAGGAACACCAGUUGCGAAGGCGGCUCUCUGGACUGUAACUGACACUGAGGCACGAAAGCGUGGGGAGCAAACAGGAUUAGAUACCCUGGUAGUCCACGCCGUAAACGAUGAGUACUAGCUGUCGGAGGUUACCCCCUUCGGUGGCGCAGCUAACGCAUUAAGUACUCCGCCUGGGAAGUACGCUCGCAAGAGUGAAACUCAAAGGAAUUGACGG